GAUGAACGCUGGCGGCGUGCCUAAUACAUGCAAGUCGAGCGAACAGAUGAGGAGCUUGCUCCUCUGACGUUAGCGGCGGACGGGUGAGUAACACGUGGAUAACCUACCUAUAAGACUGGGAUAACUUCGGGAAACCGGAGCUAAUACCGGAUAAUAUAUUGAACCGCAUUGUUCAAUAGUGAAAGACGGUUUUGCUGUCACUUAUAUAUGGAUCCGCGCCGCAUUAGCUAGUUGGUAAGGUAACGGCUUACCAAGGCAACGAUGCGUAGCCGACCUGAGAGGGUGAGCGGCCACACUGGACCUGAGACACGGUCCAGACUACUACGGGAGGCAGCAGUAGGGAAUCUUCCGCAAUGGGAGAAAGCCUGACGGAGCAACGCCGCGUGAGUGAUGAAGGUCUUCGGAUCGUAAAACUCUGUUAUUAGGGAAGAACAAAUGUGUAAGUAACUAUGCACGUCUUGACGGUACCUAAUCAGAAAGCCACGGCUAACUACGUG
Molecule: ribosomal RNA, 497 nt
Filed under: uncultured bacterium
Lineage: Bacteria
Description: partial 16S ribosomal RNA
Rfam family: Bacterial small subunit ribosomal RNA
Source: RNAcentral